GAUGAUUUCUCCAUCCUGAACGUGCAGCGGGUCUUCCUGCUCUGUUUCCCAGGCUGGAGUGCAAUGGUACCAUCAUAGCUCACUGCAGCCUUAAACUUCCGGGCUCAAGUGAUCCUCCUGCCUCGGCCUCCCAAUGCAUUGGGAUUACAGGUGUGAGUCCCUGCGUCUGGCCAGGAUGCUCCUGAGGACCCUGGUGGAAGAUGGACUAAGCACAUCCUGGGCAUCGGGGACAGGCACCGGCUCCUCAAGCGUGGACAGGGACAGGGAUGGGGCGGGGCAGCGCUGCAGGAGGUGGGGCCUGGGCUGAUUUUCUUGCUGUACUACUUUCAGUCACUACGUACCUGUUAUGGGUUGAACUAGGCUCCCUGUAUUAGUCAGAGUUCUCUAGAGGGACAGAACUAAUGGAAUAUAAAAAAAUAAAUAUAUACAUAUAUAUGGAA
This 440-nucleotide long non-coding RNA is filed under the name Homo sapiens (human). RNAcentral's name for it is "non-protein coding lnc-FAM3B-3:1". Lineage: Eukaryota; Metazoa; Chordata; Mammalia; Primates; Hominidae. The record is from RNAcentral.